AGGUCAGUAGGUUGGUCAUGCCACUGGUAUGUACUGGUCUCACUGAUUCCUCCUUCCUGAUGAACUGUAAUGCCAUUAAUUUGGUGUUGCAGGGAAUCUGGACUGUUACUUUGAAAAAAUUAGAGUGUUUAAAGCAGGCAUUAGCUUGAAUACAUUAGCAUGGAAUAAUGAAAUAGGACGUUUGAUUCUAUUUUGUUGGUUUCUAGGAUCGACGUA
Molecule: ribosomal RNA, 216 nt
Filed under: Campeiostachys nutans
Lineage: Eukaryota; Viridiplantae; Streptophyta; Magnoliopsida; Poales; Poaceae
Description: Elymus nutans partial small subunit ribosomal RNA
Rfam family: Eukaryotic small subunit ribosomal RNA (bases 40-216)
Source: RNAcentral